UGGGGAAUAUUGCACAAUGGGCGCAAGCCUGAUGCAGCCAUGCCGCGUGUGUGAAGAAGGCCUUCGGGUUGUAAAGCACUUUCAGCGGGGAGGAAGGCGAUAAGGUUAAUAACCUUGUCGAUUGACGUUACCCGCAGAAGAAGCACCGGCUAACUCCGUGCCAGCAGCCGCGGUAAUACGGAGGGUGCAAGCGUUAAUCGGAAUUACUGGGCGUAAAGCGCACGCAGGCGGUCUGUCAAGUCGGAUGUGAAAUCCCCGGGCUCAACCUGGGAACUGCAUUCGAAACUGGCAGGCUAGAGUCUUGUAGAGGGGGGUAGAAUUCCAUGUGUAGCGGUGAAAUGCGUAGAGAUGUGGAGGAAUACCGGUGGCGAAGGCGGCCCCCUGGACAAAGACUGACGCUCAGGUGCGAAAGCGUGGGGAGCAAACAGG
RNAcentral lists this ribosomal RNA (429 nucleotides) under Chloroflexota bacterium. Its description in RNAcentral is "Chloroflexi bacterium partial 16S ribosomal RNA". It matches the Rfam family "Bacterial small subunit ribosomal RNA", at positions 355 to 776 of the family's 1533-position model. The record is from RNAcentral. Lineage: Bacteria; Bacillati; Chloroflexota.